AGAGUUUGAUCAUGGCUCAGGAUGAACGCUGGCGGCGUGCCUAAUACAUGCAAGUCGAGCGAACCACUUCGGUGGUGAGCGGCGAACGGGUGAGUAACACGUAGGUGAUCUGCCCAUCAGACGGGGACAACGAUUGGAAACGAUCGCUAAUACCGGAUAGGACGAAAGUUUAAAGGUGCUUCUGGCACCGCUGAUGGAUGAGCAUGCGGCGCAUUAGCUAGUUGGUAGGGUAAAGGCCUACCAAGGCGACGAUGCGUAGCCGACCUGAGAGGGUGAACGGCCACACUGGGACUGAGACACGGCCCAGACUCCUACGGGAGGCAGCAGUAGGGAAUCUUCGGCAAUGGGCGAAAGCCUGACCGAGCAACGCCGCGUGAAUGAUGAAGGCCUUCGGGUUGUAAAAUUCUGUUAUAAGGGAAGAACGACUUUAGUAGGAAAUGGCUAGAGUGUGACGGUACCUUAUGAGAAAGCCACGGCUAACUACGUGCCAGCAGCCGCGGUAAUACGUAGGUGGCGAGCGUUAUCCGGAAUUAUUGGGCGUAAAGAGCGCGCAGGUGGUUGAUUAAGUCUGAUGUGAAAGCCCACGGCUUAACCGUGGAGGGUCAUUGGAAACUGGUCGACUUGAGUGCAGAAGAGGGAAGUGGAAUUCCAUGUGUAGCGGUGAAAUGCGUAGAGAUAUGGAGGAACACCAGUGGCGAAGGCGGCUUCCAGGUCUGUAACUGACACUGAGGCGCGAAAGCGUGGGGAGCAAACAGGAUUAGAUACCCUGGUAGUCCACGCCGUAAACGAUGAGUGCUAAGUGUUGGGGGUCGAACCUCAGUGCUGAAGUUAACGCAUUAAGCACUCCGCCUGGGGAGUACGGUCGCAAGACUGAAACUCAAAUGAAUUGACGG
Molecule: ribosomal RNA, 893 nt
Filed under: uncultured bacterium
Lineage: Bacteria
Description: bacterial SSU rRNA
Rfam family: Bacterial small subunit ribosomal RNA
Source: RNAcentral